GGUCUUAUAUUCAUUUAUGAUAUAAAAUUGCAAAUUUUAAGGUGUAAAAAUUACUAAGGCUU
This 62-nucleotide transfer RNA is filed under the name Gonepteryx amintha. Its description in RNAcentral is "tRNA-Cys". The record is from RNAcentral. Lineage: Eukaryota; Metazoa; Arthropoda; Insecta; Lepidoptera; Pieridae.